GACGAACGCUGGCGGCGCGCCUAACACAUGCAAGUCGAACGAGAGAUGAGGAGCUUGCUCUUCAGAUCGAGUGGCGAACGGGUGAGUAACGCGUGAGGAACCUGCCUCAAAGAGGGGGACAACAGUUGGAAACGACUGCUAAUACCGCAUAAGCCCACGGCUCGGCAUCGAGCAGGGGAAAGGAGCAAUCCGCUUUGAGAUGGCCUCGCGUCCGAUUAGCUAGUUGGUGAGGUAACAGCCCACCAAGGCGACGAUCGGUAGCCGGACUGAGAGGUUGAACGGCCACAUUGGGACUGAGACACGGCCCAGACUCCUACGGGAGGCAGCAGUGGGGAAUAUUGCACAAUGGGGGAAACCCUGAUGCAGCGACGCCGCGUGGAGGAAGAAGGUCUUCGGAUUGUAAACUCCUGUUGUUGAGGAAGAUAAUGACGGUACUCAACAAGGAAGUGACGGCUAACUACGUG
This 464-nucleotide ribosomal RNA is filed under the name uncultured bacterium. Its description in RNAcentral is "bacterial SSU rRNA". It matches the Rfam family "Bacterial small subunit ribosomal RNA", at positions 28 to 507 of the family's 1533-position model. The record is from RNAcentral.